Molecule: ribosomal RNA, 253 nt
Filed under: uncultured bacterium
Lineage: Bacteria
Description: partial 16S ribosomal RNA
Rfam family: Bacterial small subunit ribosomal RNA
Source: RNAcentral
UACGUAGGGUGCAAGCGUUGUUCGGAAUUACUGGGCGUAAAGGGCCCGUAGGCGGCCCACUAAGUCCGACGUGAAAUCCCCAGGCUCAACUUGGGAACUGCGUCGGAUACUGGAUGGCUUGAAUUCGGGAGAGGGAUGCAGAAUUCCAGGUGUAGCGGUGAAAUGCGUAGAUAUCUGGAGGAACACCAAUAGCGAAGGCAGCUUGCUGGGACGUUACUGACGCUAAGGCGCGAAAGCGUGGGGAGCAAACGGG